UAACACAUGCAAGUCGAGCGGAGUGAUGGUGCUUGCACUAUCACUUAGCGGCGGACGGGUGAGUAAUGCUUAGGAAUCUGCCUAUUAGUGGGGGACAACAUCUCGAAAGGGAUGCUAAUACCGCAUACGUCCUACGGGAGAAAGCAGGGGAUCACUUGUGACCUUGCGCUAAUAGAUGAGCCUAAGUCGGAUUAGCUAGUUGGUGGGGUAAAGGCCUACCAAGGCGACGAUCUGUAGCGGGUCUGAGAGGAUGAUCCGCCACACUGGGACUGAGACACGGCCCAGACUCCUACGGGAGGCAGCAGUGGGGAAUAUUGGACAAUGGGGGGAACCCUGAUCCAGCCAUGCCGCGUGUGUGAAGAAGGCCUUAUGGUUGUAAAGCACUUUAAGCGAGGAGGAGGCUCUUUUGGUUAAUACCCAAGAUGAGUGGACGUUACUCGCAGAAUAAGCACCGGCUAACUCUGUGCCAGCAGCCGCGGUAAUACAGAGGGUGCAAGCGUUAAUCGGAUUUACUGGGCGUAAAGCGCGCGUAGGCGGCCAAUUAAGUCAAAUGUGAAAUCCCCGAGCUUAACUUGGGAAUUGCAUUCGAUACUGGUUGGCUAGAGUGUGGGAGAGGAUGGUAGAAUUCCAGGUGUAGCGGUGAAAUGCGUAGAGAUCUGGAGGAAUACCGAUGGCGAAGGCAGCCAUCUGGCCUAACACUGACGCUGAGGUGCGAAAGCAUGGGGAGCAAACAGGAUUAGAUAC
RNAcentral lists this ribosomal RNA (744 nucleotides) under Acinetobacter soli. RNAcentral describes it as "bacterial SSU rRNA". It matches the Rfam family "Bacterial small subunit ribosomal RNA", at positions 49 to 785 of the family's 1533-position model. The record is from RNAcentral. Lineage: Bacteria; Pseudomonadati; Pseudomonadota; Gammaproteobacteria; Moraxellales; Moraxellaceae.